GACGAACGCUGGCGGCGUGCUUAACACAUGCAAGUCGAACGGUGAAGCUCCAGCUUGCUGGAGUGGAUCAGUGGCGAACGGGUGAGUAACACGUGAGCAACCUGCCCCUGACUCUGGAAUAAGCGCUGGAAACGGCGUCUAAUACUGGAUACGAGAAGGGUCCGCAUGGGCACUUUCGGGAAAGUUUUGCGGUUGGGGAUGGGCUCGCGGCCUAUCAGCUUGUUGGUGAGGUAAUGGCUCACCAAGGCGACGACGGGUAGCCGGCCUGAGAGGGUGACCGGCCACAAUGGGACUGAGACACGGCCCAGACUCCUACGGGAGGCAGCAGUGGGGAAUAUUGCACAAUGGGCGAAAGCCUGAUGCAGCGACGCCGCGUGAGGGAUGACGGCCUUCGGGUUGUAAACCUCUUUCAGCAGGGAAGAAGCGAAAGUGACGGUACCUGCAGAAGAAGCACCGGCUAACUACGUG
RNAcentral lists this ribosomal RNA (468 nucleotides) under uncultured bacterium. Its description in RNAcentral is "partial 16S ribosomal RNA". It matches the Rfam family "Bacterial small subunit ribosomal RNA", at positions 28 to 507 of the family's 1533-position model. The record is from RNAcentral.